GAAUGUACAGCUCAGUGGUAGAGUGCAUGUUUAGCAUGCAUGAGGUCCUGGGUUCAAUACCCACUACCUACA
Molecule: transfer RNA, 72 nt
Filed under: Camelus bactrianus (Bactrian camel)
Lineage: Eukaryota; Metazoa; Chordata; Mammalia; Artiodactyla; Camelidae
Also listed under: 2 other names
Rfam family: tRNA
About the family: Transfer RNA (tRNA) molecules are approximately 80 nucleotides in length. Their secondary structure includes four short double-helical elements and three loops (D, anti-codon, and T loops).
Source: Rfam by way of RNAcentral